Molecule: transfer RNA, 72 nt
Filed under: Rhizomucor miehei CAU432
Lineage: Eukaryota; Fungi; Mucoromycota; Mucoromycetes; Mucorales; Lichtheimiaceae
Description: tRNA-Und (NNN) (tRNA-Und-NNN-2-1)
Rfam family: tRNA
About the family: Transfer RNA (tRNA) molecules are approximately 80 nucleotides in length. Their secondary structure includes four short double-helical elements and three loops (D, anti-codon, and T loops).
Source: RNAcentral
GUUGCGGUAGUGUAAUUGGUUAACACUUGAACAGGAAGAAUUCAAAUCCUGGUUCAAAUCCAGGCCGCGACA